GGGGAACCUGAUGCAGCCAUGCCGCGUGUGUGAAGAAGGCCUUCGGGUUGUAAAGCACUUUCAGUUGUGAGGAAAGGUUGGUAGUUAAUACCUGCCAGCUGUGACGUUAACAACAGAAGAAGCACCGGCUAACUCCGUGCCAGCAGCCGCGGUAAUACGGAGGGUGCGAGCGUUAAUCGGAAUUACUGGGCGUAAAGCGCACGCAGGCGGUUUGUUAAGCUAGAUGUGAAAGCCCCGGGCUCAACCUGGGAUGGUCAUUUAGAACUGGCAGACUAGAGUCUUGGAGAGGGGAGUGGAAUUCCGGGUGUAGCGGUGAAAUGCGUAGAUAUCUGGAGGAACAUCAGUGGCAAAGGCGGCUCCCUGGCCAAAGACUGACGCUCAUGUGCGAAAGUGUGGGUAGCGAACAGGAUUAGAUACCCUGGUAGUCCACACCGUAAACGCUGUCUACUAGCUGUUUGUGAAUUUAAUUCGUGAGUAGCGAAGCUAACGCGAUAAGUAGACCGCCUGGGGAGUACGGCCGCAAGGUUAAAACUCAAAUGAAUUGACGGGGGCCCGCACAAGCGGUGGAGCAUGUGGUUUAAUUCGAUGCAACGCGAAGAACCUUACCUACACUUGACAUGCAGAGAACUUUCCAGAGAUGGAUUGGUGCCUUCGGGAACUCUGACACAGGUGCUGCAUGGCUGUCGUCAGCUCGUGUCGUGAGAUGUUGGGUUAAGUCCCGCAACGAGCGCAACCCUUGUCCUUAGUUGCCAGCAUUUAGUUGGGCACUCUAAGGAGACUGCCGGUGACAAACCGGANGAAGGUGGGGA
RNAcentral lists this ribosomal RNA (809 nucleotides) under uncultured Alteromonadaceae bacterium. RNAcentral's name for it is "bacterial SSU rRNA". It matches the Rfam family "Bacterial small subunit ribosomal RNA", at positions 374 to 1179 of the family's 1533-position model. Lineage: Bacteria; Pseudomonadati; Pseudomonadota; Gammaproteobacteria; Alteromonadales; Alteromonadaceae. The record is from RNAcentral.